RNAcentral lists this ribosomal RNA (1449 nucleotides) under uncultured bacterium. RNAcentral's name for it is "16S ribosomal RNA". It matches the Rfam family "Bacterial small subunit ribosomal RNA". The record is from RNAcentral.
AGAGUUUGAUCAUGGCUCAGGAUGAACGCUGGCGGCGUGCCUAACACAUGCAAGUCGAGCGAUCUCUUCGGAGAGAGCGGCGGACGGGUGAGUAACGCGUGGGUAACCUGCCCUGUACACACGGAUAACAUACCGAAAGGUAUACUAAUACGGGAUAACAUACGAAAGUCGCAUGGCUUUUGUAUCAAAGCUCCGGCGGUACAGGAUGGACCCGCGUCUGAUUAGCUAGUUGGUAAGGUAAUGGCUUACCAGGCAACGAUCAGUAGCCGACCUGAGAGGGUGAUCGGCCACACUGGAACUGAGACACGGUCCAGACUCCUACGGGAGGCAGCAGUGGGGAAUAUUGCACAAUGGGCGAAAGCCUGAUGCAGCAACGCCGCGUGAGCGAUGAAGGCCUUCGGGUCGUAAAGCUCUGUCCUCAAGGAAGAUAAUGACGGUACUUGAGGAGGAAGCCCCGGCUAACUACGUGCCAGCAGCCGCGGUAAUACGUAGGGGGCUAGCGUUAUCCGGAAUUACUGGGCGUAAAGGGUGCGUAGGUGGUUUUUUAAGUCAGAAGUGAAAGGCUACGGCUCAACCGUAGUAAGCUUUUGAAACUAGAGAACUUGAGUGCAGGAGAGGAGAGUAGAAUUCCUAGUGUAGCGGUGAAAUGCGUAGAUAUUAGGAGGAAUACCAGUAGCGAAAGCGGCUCUCUGGACUGUAACUGACACUGAGGCACGAAAGCGUGGGGAGCAAACAGGAUUAGAUACCCUGGUAGUCCACGCCGUAAACGAUGAGUACUAGGUGUCGGGGGUUACCCCCCUCGGUGCCGCAGCUAACGCAUUAAGUACUCCGCCUGGGAAGUACGCUCGCAAGAGUGAAACUCAAAGGAAUUGACGGGGACCCGCACAAGUAGCGGAGCAUGUGGUUUAAUUCGAAGCAACGCGAAGAACCUUACCUAAGCUUGACAUCCCACUGACCUCUCCCUAAUCGGAGAUUUCCCUUCGGGGACAGUGGUGACAGGUGGUGCAUGGUUGUCGUCAGCUCGUGUCGUGAGAUGUUGGGUUAAGUCCCGCAACGAGCGCAACCCUUGCCUUUAGUUGCCAGCAUUAAGUUGGGCACUCUAGAGGGACUGCCGAGGAUAACACGGAGGAAGGUGGGGAUGACGUCAAAUCAUCAUGCCCCUUAUGCUUAGGGCUACACACGUGCUACAAUGGGUGGUACAGAGGGUUGCCAAGCCGCGAGGUGGAGCUAAUCCCUUAAAGCCAUUCUCAGUUCGGAUUGUAGGCUGAAACUCGCCUACAUGAAGCUGGAGUUACUAGUAAUCGCAGAUCAGAAUGCUGCGGUGAAUGCGUUCCCGGGUCUUGUACACACCGCCCGUCAAGCCAUGGAAGCUGGGGGUACCUGAAGUAUGCAACCGCAAGGAGCGUCCUAGGGUAAAACCGGUAACUGGGGCUAAGUCGUAACAAGGUA